This is a non-coding RNA of Megalops atlanticus (tarpon), 71 nucleotides long. The record is from the annotation of a GenBank genome assembly. NCBI's taxonomy places the organism in Eukaryota, Metazoa, Chordata, Actinopteri, Elopiformes, Megalopidae.
GGCAUUGUAGCAUAGUGGUAAGGUGCAGGCUCGUAACUGAAAGGUUGCUGGUUCGAUUCCAUGCAGGGGCA